ACGUACUCUUUAGCCAAAGGGCAAAAGAACACGAUGUUUGGAAUCCUGCGAGUCACUCGAUCUGCACCGCCGUCACGCACGUGCGGGAAGGAACCACCCGGUCUUUUUAUUCAACAAUUUACGCUCGCCCCCAAUUAGUUCCCAAAUCUGCAAUCUCUUUCGAUCACUCGGAAAAAGCCAUGCCCCUAUCCCCUGAUGUCCAGGGCGACCAAGGCCAGAUCCUGGUCCGCCUGAAGCGGCCCCAUUCGUCCUCGUCGGAAGACCCUAGCCAGGACCAGAACCUAACCCUAACCCCUGUCACGGCUGAAGACCUUGAUGUCCAGGGCGGCCAGCACCAGGAGCCGGACCCGGUCCAGGUCCAGCCGGCGAAGCCCUCUGGAGACCCUGAUGUUCCGGGCGGCGAGCACCAUGACCCGGACCCGGCCAUGCCCCUAUCCCCUAUCGAGGUCCGCCUGAAGCGGCACCAUUCGUCCUUGUUCGACUCUGAUGUUGCGAAGCGGCCCCGUUCGUCCUUGUUCUCUGAAGACCCUGAUGUUCCGGGCGGCCAGCACCACGACCCGGACCCGGCCAUGCCCCUAUCCCCUAUAGUGGUCCGCCUGAAGCGGCACAAUUCGUCCUUGUUCGAAGACCGUAUACAUGACCAGAACCUAACCCCUGUCACGGAAGACUCUGAUGUUGCGAAGCGGCCCCGUUCGUCCUUAUCCUCUGAAGACCCUGAUGUCCAGGGCGGCCAGCACCAGAACCCGGACCCGGUCCAGCCCGUGAAGCCCUCAGAACCAGUAAGCCGUACGCUGAAGGAGAUUCUCGAUGAGUGCGGCCCGA
RNAcentral lists this long non-coding RNA (822 nucleotides) under Rosa chinensis. Its description in RNAcentral is "sRNA RchiOBHm_Chr5g0013631". The record is from RNAcentral. Lineage: Eukaryota; Viridiplantae; Streptophyta; Magnoliopsida; Rosales; Rosaceae.